RNAcentral lists this transfer RNA (64 nucleotides) under Plodia interpunctella (Indianmeal moth). Its description in RNAcentral is "tRNA-His". Lineage: Eukaryota; Metazoa; Arthropoda; Insecta; Lepidoptera; Pyralidae. The record is from RNAcentral.
ACUUAAAUAAUUUAAAUAAAAUAUUGAUUUGUGGAGUCAAAAAUAUGAGGUUUCAUUUUAAGUU